GCGCCACAAGACAAAAUAGAUACACUCAGCAAAGACUGUCUUGAACAGAGAAAAUAUACAUAUUUUCUAGUCGAGAACGAUAAAAAAUCUCAACUAGCAAUAAUUUCUUAUGCAUACAUGCAUGCCUGAUGGUUCUUAUGGGAGCAACCCAAGAGCUCGUAGUUCAUAUUUUCAAGAAUAACUCUUCUGCAACUUGCCCGCGAGAAGGAGACUCGUGCAACUAGAAGAGCUUGCCUGGAUAUAUAGCUUCACUUCUCAUCAUUGUGCAGAAUUCGUCGUAGUUGAUUCUUCUAUCCUGAAAAUUAAACUUACUAACAUGUAUCUUUGGUAUGCUAAUUUCACUAAAACUUAAAAACAAGAAAUACAUAUAAAACUUAAACAGCUAACAACAGAUACAAGAUAUUGAAAAAAGUAUCACGUAUGUCUAAAUAUGUAUCUAAGCCUAAAAUUAUCAGAUCUGAAAUAACAAGAGAUAUAUAAAUCUACAAUACCACACAACUAGAUAUACAAAAAAAACUUAAAAUGUAUCUGUUAUUUUAUAAAAUAUGUAUCUUUGCAAUUCAAAGUUUAAACCUCCCAGAUCAACUAAACCACAAUUUUACAUUUGACAGUAAUUAGGCAAACUUACAAUUUUGAUCUAGUAGCAAUAAUUUCUUUACGUUGACAAAAAUUACGGAAAUAUCAAUAAUUAUUUUACAUUGACAGAAUUUAGGGAAGCUUACAAUUUUGAUCUAACAGAAAUAAUUUUAGAUUAGGCAAACUUACAAUUUUGAUCUAAUAACAAUAAUUUCUUUACGUUGACAGAAAUUAGGGAAAUAGCAAUAAUUAUUUUACAUCGACAGAAAUUAGGCAAGCUUACAAUUUUGAUCUAACAGAAAUAAUUUUUUUACGUUGACAGAAAUUAGGCAAACUUUCAAUUUUGAUCUAGUAGCAAUAAUUAGGAAAACUUACAAUUUUGAUCUAGUAGGAAUAAUUCUUUUACAUUGACUGAAAUUAAGGUAACUUACAAUUUUGAUCUAAUAGUAAAAUUUUUCUUACAUUGACAUAUAUUAGGCAAACUUAUAAUUUGUAGUCCUGACGUUACGAUUAUCACAAAGAAUAUGAAACCUAAACACUUUCUAUAAAAAAAAAAAUAAAAAAAAAUAAUUAUAUAUAAUUCAAGUCAAUGAUAGUUCAUGUGAGCUAAUAGCAAUAAAAUUUGAGAAAAAAUAGGUCAACCUACAACUUAGAAUUCGCAGAGAUCGUCAGAUCGGAACAAAAUGGAUAAGCAAAGUUUGAAGUGGGAUCAACUUUUUGUAGAUGAAGUAUGUACUUGGGGGAAUCAGCUUGUUGUAGAUGGAAGAAUCAACUUGCUGAAGAAGUAAAGUACGGGGAAGUGAAAUUGGG
RNAcentral lists this long non-coding RNA (1386 nucleotides) under Capsicum annuum. RNAcentral's name for it is "long non-coding RNA (CANN_LNC021683)". The record is from RNAcentral. Lineage: Eukaryota; Viridiplantae; Streptophyta; Magnoliopsida; Solanales; Solanaceae.